This 841-nucleotide ribosomal RNA is filed under the name Stenotrophomonas maltophilia. RNAcentral describes it as "bacterial SSU rRNA". It matches the Rfam family "Bacterial small subunit ribosomal RNA", at positions 100 to 934 of the family's 1533-position model. Lineage: Bacteria; Pseudomonadati; Pseudomonadota; Gammaproteobacteria; Lysobacterales; Lysobacteraceae. The record is from RNAcentral.
GGACGGGUGAGGAAUACAUCGGAAUCUACUUUUUCGUGGGGGAUAACGUAGGGAAACUUACGCUAAUACCGCAUACGACCUACGGGUGAAAGCAGGGGAUCUUCGGACCUUGCGCGAUUGAAUGAGCCGAUGUCGGAUUAGCUAGUUGGCGGGGUAAAGGCCCACCAAGGCGACGAUCCGUAGCUGGUCUGAGAGGAUGAUCAGCCACACUGGAACUGAGACACGGUCCAGACUCCUACGGGAGGCAGCAGUGGGGAAUAUUGGACAAUGGGCGCAAGCCUGAUCCAGCCAUACCGCGUGGGUGAAGAAGGCCUUCGGGUUGUAAAGCCCUUUUGUUGGGAAAGAAAUCCAGCUGGCUAAUACCCGGUUGGGAUGACGGUACCCAAAGAAUAAGCACCGGCUAACUUCGUGCCAGCAGCCGCGGUAAUACGAAGGGUGCAAGCGUUACUCGGAAUUACUGGGCGUAAAGCGUGCGUAGGUGGUCGUUUAAGCCCGUUGUGAAAGCCCUGGGCUCAACCUGGGAACUGCAGUGGAUACUGGGCGACUAGAGUGUGGUAGAGGGUAGCGGAAUUCCUGGUGUAGCAGUGAAAUGCGUAGAGAUCAGGAGGAACAUCCAUGGCGAAGGCAGCUACCUGGACCAACACCGACACUGAGGCACGAAAGCGUGGGGGGCAAACAGGAUUAGAUACCCUGGUAGUCCACGCCCUAAACGAUGCGAACUGGGAUGUUGGGUGCAAUUUGGCACGCAGUAUCGAAGCUAACGCGUUAAGUUCGCCGCCUGGGGGAGUACGGUCGCAAGACUGAAACUCAAAGGAAUUGACGGGGGCCCGCACAAGCGGUG